UGGGGAAUAUUGGGCAAUGGAGGAAACUCUGAUCCAGCAAUGCCGCGUGUGUGAAGAAGGCCUGCGGGUUGUAAAGCACUUUUGUCCGGAACGAAAAGCUCGUGGUUAAUACCCAUGGGUGCUGACGGUACCGGAAGAAUAAGCACCGGCUAACUUCGUGCCAGCAGCCGCGGUAAUACGAAGGGUGCAAGCGUUAAUCGGAAUUACUGGGCGUAAAGCGUGCGUAGGUGGGUGGUUAAGUCUGAUGUG
Molecule: ribosomal RNA, 249 nt
Filed under: uncultured Lysobacteraceae bacterium
Lineage: Bacteria; Pseudomonadati; Pseudomonadota; Gammaproteobacteria; Lysobacterales; Lysobacteraceae
Description: uncultured Xanthomonadaceae bacterium partial 16S ribosomal RNA
Rfam family: Bacterial small subunit ribosomal RNA
Source: RNAcentral